GACGAACGCUGGCGGCGUGCCUAAUACAUGCAAGUCGAGCGGACCAAAGGGAGCUUGCUCCUGGAGGUCAGCGGCGAACGGGUGAGUAACACGUGGGCAACCUGCCUGUAAGACUGGGAUAACAUCGAGAAAUCGGUGCUAAUACCGGAUAAUAAAAAGAACUGCAUGGUUCUUUUUUGAAAGAUGGUUUCGGCUAUCACUUACAGAUGGGCCCGCGGCGCAUUAGCUAGUUGGUGAGGUAACGGCUCACCAAGGCAACGAUGCGUAGCCGACCUGAGAGGGUGAUCGGCCACACUGGGACUGAGACACGGCCCAGACUCCUACGGGAGCAGCAGUAGGGAAUCUUCCGCAAUGGACGAAAGUCUGACGGAGCAACGCCGCGUGAGUGAUGAAGGUUUUCGGAUCGUAAAACUCUGUUGUUAGGGAAGAACAAGUGCCGUUCGAAAGGGCGGCACCUUGACGGUACCUAACGAGAAAGCCACGGCUAACUACGUGCCAGCAGCCGACGG
This 509-nucleotide ribosomal RNA is filed under the name uncultured bacterium. RNAcentral describes it as "bacterial SSU rRNA". It matches the Rfam family "Bacterial small subunit ribosomal RNA", at positions 28 to 520 of the family's 1533-position model. The record is from RNAcentral.